CCAAAAAUGGAGACACACCUUUCUAGGAUAUACUUUGGCUCGAUAUUAAAUAGUUAGUUUACUAUAUUUAAAAUUAUGGGAGUUAAAGCAUAAGCCAGUUUAUAAUUUUAAUAAAUAGUAGACAUACUAAUUUAGAGUUUAGUUAAAAUAAAUGGUUAACUAGGUGCCAGCAACCGCGGUCAUACCUAUGUUGUUAACUAACUAAGUAAAGUCUUUCUUUUUUCCUAUAGAUUGUUCUCUUUAAUAGUGAAAUAUAAAGUGAAUCUCAAUUUUCUUAUAGAAGCUAAUCUAAGCUCAGAAAUAAACCAGGAUUAGAUACCCUGCUAUACCAAGCCCUACAAAGGAAGAUCUAAAUAGUAAUAUUUUCAAAAUGAAACUUAAAAGUCAUGGCGGCUAUUAAAAUUUAUUAGGGGAACUUACCACAUAAUUGAUAACCACCAAGCUAAAUAAACGCUUAUUAAAAAGUUUGUAUGCCGUCGUGGAGAGUUUAUCUUAGAUAAACUCUAAAAGAUUUUGUUUUCAUGACCACAGAUCAAGGUGCAACUUAUAUUAGCGAAGUAGGCGAGUUACAAUAUAAACUAUAUAACGGAAUUUAGGUUGUAGAACCUAAAUGAAGUUGGACUUAAAAGUAAUUUCUAAAGUAAAUUCAAUUGAUGAAUUCUAUUUUAAUAGUGC
This 675-nucleotide ribosomal RNA is filed under the name Fauxulus kurrii. RNAcentral describes it as "partial 12S ribosomal RNA". Lineage: Eukaryota; Metazoa; Mollusca; Gastropoda; Stylommatophora; Fauxulidae. The record is from RNAcentral.